CGGUCCGAGUUCUGGUGGCUGGCGCCGUGGAAGUGCGUUUCUGUUAACGUGGGCUUCCUGCGAGCUGUCGGACGGGUCUCACAGAACCGAUUCGAGCUGCGUGGCCACACGGAAGCCAGUCCCUUCCUGCGAAACAGACUCCCCACCUGUAAGAACCGAGCUUACCCACUCAGGACCUGGUAUCAGAAUGAAGGGAGGAAUGUAUCUAAAGCCGCAACCACUUGCUACGCCCUUUCUACAUGUUAGCACUUAGGGCGAUUGUGAUUGUUGCAUUAAUUGGUGUGUCUGGUUGUGUCCUGCUGGCCUCCUUCAGGAGACCUGGUGAAGGCAGGACAAGGUUGCUCUGCCCACCCCUGUAUCCGCAGCCUGCUCAGGGCCACACGUAGAUAGUUAAGUAGAUAGUCAUCAGGUAAGCCAAUUCUUACCCACGCUCGCAGGCUGAGUGGACGCUCAGUGAGUCAUUUUGAUAAUAAUAGUGGCAAUGACAGUAGUUGUUGCUGGCCCUUCGGGAGCACGUCCCUUAUCAGGCACCCAGCUAAGUACUUUACAUGUCAUUUACCCUUUUAUCUUCAUAACAGCCCUAUGAGGUAGGUACUAUAGUUAUUCCCGUUUUACAGAUAGGAAACUGAGGCACAGAGAGGGUCCAAGGACAGCUAGUCAACGGCAGACCAGGAUUAGAACCCAGGCAGGCUAGGUCCCACGUCCUGCCCUUCAUCACCCUGCCAUACCACUCACGGUGAGAGAGAAGCAGUGGCCCAGAGGCUCAGCCUUGCCGAGGAAUCCCCACCACACGUUUCUGUCAGCAGACCUCCUGCACUGAGUGAAUGACCUCACCUCAGGUCCCACUGGGAAAACCAGUCCAUAAGAAGGGAACAGAUGGGACUUCCCUGGUGGUCCAGUGGUGAAGACUCUGCACUUCCACUCAGGGGGCACGGGUUCAAUCCCUGGUCAGCAAACUAAGAUCCCACAUGCCUCACGGUGUGGCCAAAAAAAUAGAAGAGGAAGGGAACACAUGGUUGCCUCACAACUGCUUUGGCACUCAUCUCUUCUGCUCUUGUUCCAAAAGGAGUUGGCUAACCCUGGGAAGAGCAGUCACUCCAGUGUUAGCAAGACCCCAAGACGUCAAAGCAUCGGGAAGCACAGAAAAUAAAAAACAAGGGAAAUACCUGUUGUUUAUCCAUUCAUCCGUUGAUGGGCACUUGGAUUGUAAUGGGCACAUAAUUGUA
Physeter macrocephalus (sperm whale) is the source of this 1226-nucleotide long non-coding RNA. RefSeq lists it as uncharacterized. The record is from RefSeq and is a predicted model, not a curated record. Lineage: Eukaryota; Metazoa; Chordata; Mammalia; Artiodactyla; Physeteridae. The transcript has 3 exons.